This 471-nucleotide long non-coding RNA is filed under the name Nicotiana benthamiana. Its description in RNAcentral is "long non-coding RNA (NBEN_LNC025781)". The record is from RNAcentral. Lineage: Eukaryota; Viridiplantae; Streptophyta; Magnoliopsida; Solanales; Solanaceae.
GAGAAUGAGAGCAGCAAGGUGAUAGCACCAGUGUGCAGUAAAGAGAAAAUGGCAGUGUGCAGCAAAGAGAGCAGCAGGCAAACCCAAGAAAAUAAUGCAACAGAAACUUGGUAGUGCAGAAGUAAACAACCAAGAUUACUCAAUCUUGGCUUUCAACCGAUUGAGUGAGAGAAUUUGUAGAAAAGAAAAAAAACAGUAAAGAGAUAGAGAGCACUGAGUGUUAUUGAAAGAAAGUUCAGAGAGAUUGUAAUGUCUUAGUAUGAGAGAUAUGCAAUGUGUUGGUUGUCUUUCAAUGAGAAUGGGGGGAGGGUACUUAUAGUACUAAAACGAGGGAACAAACAAGGCACCAAACUAUAAUUAAGGAACGAGCAUCAAUCAUAACCCCAUCAAUGUAAGGAUUUCCCUUUAAUUAAGGUGUCCAAGACAAACGGUAACAAUCAGUGGAGCUAAAAAAAAGGAAAAGAAUCAAUC